RNAcentral lists this ribosomal RNA (367 nucleotides) under uncultured bacterium. RNAcentral's name for it is "bacterial SSU rRNA". It matches the Rfam family "Bacterial small subunit ribosomal RNA", at positions 29 to 424 of the family's 1533-position model. The record is from RNAcentral.
AGCGAACGCUGGCGGCAGGCCUAACACAUGCAAGUCGAGCGCCGUAGCAAUACGGAGCGGCAGACGGGUGAGUAACGCGUGGGAACGUGCCCUUCGGUUCGGAAUAACUCAGGGAAACUUGAGCUAAAACCGGAUACGUCCGAAAGGAGAAAGAUUUAUCGCCGAAGGAUCGGCCCGCGUAAGAUUAGCUAGUUGGUGAGGUAACGGCUCACCAAGGCUCUGAUCUUUAGCUGGCUGAGAGGACGAUCAGCCACACUGGGACUGAGACACGGCCCAGACUCCUACGGGAGGCAGCAGUGGGGAAUAUUGGACAAUGGGCGCAGGCCUGAUCCAGCCAUGCCGCGUGAGUGAUGAAGGCCUUAGGGUU